ACGAACGCUGGCGGCGUGCCUAAUACAUGCAAGUCGAGCGGAAUGAUGAAGAAGCUUGCUUCUUCUGAUUUUAGCGGCGGACGGGUGAGUAACACGUGGGCAACCUACCUUGUAGAUUGGGAUAACUCCGGGAAACCGGGGCUAAUACCGGAUAAUCCAUUUUGCUUCAUGGCGAGAUGUUAAAAGGCGGCUUCGGCUGUCACUACGAGAUGGGCCCGCGGCGCAUUAGCUAGUUGGUAGGGUAAUGGCCUACCAAGGCGACGAUGCGUAGCCGACCUGAGAGGGUGAUCGGCCACACUGGGACUGAGACACGGCCCAGACUCCUACGGGAGGCAGCAGUAGGGAAUCUUCCACAAUGGACGAAAGUCUGAUGGAGCAACGCCGCGUGAGUGAAGAAGGUUUUCGGAUCGUAAAACUCUGUUGUAAGGGAAGAACACGUACAAGAGUAACUGCUCGUACCUUGACGGUACCUUAUUAGAAAGCCACGGCUAACUACGUG
Molecule: ribosomal RNA, 499 nt
Filed under: uncultured bacterium
Lineage: Bacteria
Description: bacterial SSU rRNA
Rfam family: Bacterial small subunit ribosomal RNA
Source: RNAcentral